Molecule: ribosomal RNA, 403 nt
Filed under: uncultured bacterium
Lineage: Bacteria
Description: bacterial SSU rRNA
Rfam family: Bacterial small subunit ribosomal RNA
Source: RNAcentral
UGGGGAAUCUUGCGCAAUGGGCGAAAGCCUGACGCAGCCAUGCCGCGUGAAUGAUGAAGGUCUUAGGAUUGUAAAAUUCUUUCAGCAGGGACGAUAAUGACGGUACCUGCAGAAGAAGCCCCGGCUAACUUCGUGCCAGCAGCCGCGGUAAUACGAAGGGGGCUAGCGUUGCUCGGAAUUACUGGGCGUAAAGGGCGCGUAGGCGGGUCGUUUAGUUAGAGGUGAAAGCCCAGGGCUCAACCCUGGAAUUGCCUUUAAUACUGGCGGCCUUGAGUAUGGCAGAGGUGUGUGGAACUCCGAGUGUAGAGGUGAAAUUCGUAGAUAUUCGGAAGAACACCAGUGGCGAAGGCGACACACUGGGCCAUUACUGACGCUGAGGCGCGUAAGCGUGGGGAGCAAACAG